RNAcentral lists this ribosomal RNA (495 nucleotides) under uncultured bacterium. Its description in RNAcentral is "partial 16S ribosomal RNA". It matches the Rfam family "Bacterial small subunit ribosomal RNA", at positions 28 to 507 of the family's 1533-position model. The record is from RNAcentral.
GACGAACGCUGGCGGCGUGCCUAAUACAUGCAAGUAGAACGCUGAAGGAGGAGCUUGCUUCUCUGGAUGAGUUGCGAACGGUUGAGUAACGCGUAGGUAACCUGCCUGGUAGCGGGGGAUAACUAUUGGAAACGAUAGCUAAUACCGCUUAAUAGCAGUUGUGGAAUGACAACUGUUUAAAAGGUGCAAUUCCACCCCUCCCAGAUGGACCUGAGUUGUAUUAGCUAGUUGGUGGGGUAACGGCUCACCAAGGCGACGAUACAUAGCCGACCUGAGAGGGUGAUCGGCCACACUGGGACUGAGACACGGCCCAGACGCCUACGGGAGGCAGCAGUAGGGAAUCUUCGGCAAUGGACGGAAGUCUGACCGAGCAACGCCGCGUGAGUGAAGAAGGUUUUCGGAUCGUAAAGCUCUGUUGUAAGAGAAGAACGAGUGUGAGAGUGGAAAGUUCACACUGUGACGGUAUCUUACCAGAAAGGGACGGCUAACUACGUG